Molecule: non-coding RNA, 2121 nt
Organism: Equus caballus (horse)
Lineage: Eukaryota; Metazoa; Chordata; Mammalia; Perissodactyla; Equidae
Source: RefSeq, a predicted model, not a curated record
UAUGAUAAAAAUAAUCCAGAAAAAGAUAGUGGGUGAGAGUAUAAAUAAAAUAAGAUUAGCCAUGAAUUGAUCAUUUUUGAAGCUGAGUAAUGGUUCCAUAACAAGAGCUUAUUAUAUUAUUCUCUUUAUUUUAUAUAGUUUGAUGUUUUCCAUAGUAAAAAGUUGAAAAUAAAAAGAUCUUUGACUUCUUAUGAAGUUAAAGGUAAAGGUUAUAAUUUACAUUUGAAUAAAGCUUUGCAUUUCGCAAACCUUUUCACAGACAGGAGAGGGAGAGGCAGGUAGGGGUCCAGGCUCACUUUUUAGGCAGAAAGAAGACUGCGUCUAACAUCUACCAUCUGCCAGGAAGUUUUCAAUCAUUCCACUUAAUCCCCAUAAGCUUUUCCAGGUGUUUGAAAUGCAAAGGUUGAAAUCUGCUCAUUUUGAAGAAUAGACAAUGGGGAGCGGGUAGAAGGUGCCACCAGCAGAGAAAGGGCUAGAUGCUGUUGUUAUUAUUAUUAUUUUUAGGCAUUCACAUACCUGGUCAUAUCCAGCAGCCUUAAAGGAGGCGGCAUUCCAUAUAAGCCAGACCUGUUCUUGGUUCUGUGCAGGUCCAGCAUCAAAAAUACCCACCGCCAAGCUGUCUGGAGCUCUUUAGGUGGAUCCAUUUCACCAUAAAGACAGAACUUUUCAGACACCUCCAGCUUCAUGCCUGGACCCCUUCCCCUGAAUGCCCCACAAGCCCCUCAACCCCACCACCCCCAGGAACAAACUCAGUAUUUCUCCACCUCAUCUGCAUCUCUUGUGUCCCCAGCUCUGUGAAUGUCCCACUGCCUGUCCAAUCACCCAUGCUGGAAACCUAGGAGUCCUCCCAGACAACUCUUUCACCCCAACCCAGUCAGUCCUCACUUCUCUCGCUUCCCUCUCAUCAUCUCCCCUCUCAGUGCCCUGACUUCAUCAGGUGAAAGUCAGGCCUUCAUCUUUUCUCACCAGGACUUCUCCUCCUCACUGCCUCCAGUCUCACCCUCUUCAAACCUGCCCUCCACACAGUUUCCUGAUACCCCUAGAAGUCAUGCACUGUCGAUACCUCUUCAGGGGCUACUCCUGCUGCAGGAUACAGCAGGGCCAACUCAGCAGCUCAGAUCUGAGCUUUGACUUCUGCUUUAGUGAUCUGCUGCCAAAACAUAUUGUAAACUGUAGUGGCUUAAUACAACAAUAACACUUCUUAUUUCUCAGUGUCUGUGGAUCAGAAAUUAAGGAAUGGCUUAGCUGGAUGGUUCUGGCCCAAGGUUUCUCAUGAGGUUUUAGUCCAUAUGUCAGCAAAGGCUGCAGUCGAAUGAAGGCUUGACUAGGGCUGGAGAAUUUGCUUCCCAGGUGGCUCACUGACAUGGCUGGAAGUUAGUCCUGGCUGUUGGCAUAAACCUGUUUCAUGCCAUGUAAAUCUCUCCAUAGGGUUGUUUGAGUGUCCUUAUGACAUGGUGGCCAGCUUCCUUCAGAGUGAGUGAUCCAAGAGAAAGCAAGAUGGAAUCCAUGUCUUUUAUGACCUAGUCUCAGAAGUCAUACAUGACCACCUCUACAGUAUUCUAUUGGUCACACAGGCCGCCCCCCCCCCCCAACCCCGAUGCAAUGUGAGAGGGAACUACACAGAGCAGGAAUACCAGAGGAAUGUGACCUUUAACCAGUCAGUCUGGAAUUUCCUGGUCAACACUAAUAAGGAAAUCUGCCUGAUAGACCUCCACUGUCCCCCAAGGAAACCACAAAGGGAAGAAGGAGAAGAUGGCUGAGACCUGUGGUCAGGACCAGUUUAAACUGGUUGGAGGCAACAUGGUGGUCCAACUUAAUCUGACAUAGACCCUGCAGCUCAUUAUAUGUUCAUCGUAAUAUAUUACCAUACUAAAUAACACACCUACUGUGGCCGUGACAGGAAACACUAGACCAAAUAAGGAAAGAAAAGAGGUGGUACCCUAUUUCCCAGACAGGCCUGCCCCUUUCUCUGAAUAACUAUGAAUAUUCCUCCCCUUCACUGCCUUGACCCCUUAUAACAAUAGCUUAAUUGCCCCAAGAGCUGAGAAAUUGAUUUGUGAACUUAGCUUCUGCUUCUCCAUUCUUUGGCCAUUGAAUAAAGCUUGUGCUGUUGAACGCUCA